GGAUAGCUCAGUUGUUAGAGCAUGAGACUCUUAAUCUCAGGGUUGUGGGUUCGAAACCCAUGUUAGGCA
This 69-nucleotide transfer RNA is filed under the name Podarcis lilfordi (Lilford's wall lizard). RNAcentral describes it as "tRNA.Lys". The stretch from base 4 to 61 matches the Rfam family "tRNA", at positions 8 to 63 of the family's 71-position model. Rfam says of the family: Transfer RNA (tRNA) molecules are approximately 80 nucleotides in length. Their secondary structure includes four short double-helical elements and three loops (D, anti-codon, and T loops). The record is from RNAcentral. Lineage: Eukaryota; Metazoa; Chordata; Lepidosauria; Squamata; Lacertidae.